GACGAACGCUGGCGGCGUGCUUAACACAUGCAAGUCGAACGGAAAGGCCCUGCUUUUGUGGGGUGCUCGAGUGGCGAACGGGUGAGUAACACGUGAGUAACCUGCCCUUGACUUUGGGAUAACUUCAGGAAACUGGGGCUAAUACCGGAUAGGAGCUCCUGCUGCAUGGUGGAGGUUGGAAAGUUUCGGCGGUUGGGGAUGGACUCGCGGCUUAUCAGCUUGUUGGUGGGGUAGUGGCUUACCAAGGCUUUGACGGGUAGCCGGCCUGAGAGGGUGACCGGCCACAUUGGGACUGGGAUACGGCCCAGACUCCUACGGGAGGCAGCAGUGGGGAAUAUUGCACAAUGGGCGGAAGCCUGAUGCAGCAACGCCGCGUGCGGGAUGACGGCCUUCGGGUUGUAAACCGCUUUCGCCUGUGACGAAGCGUGAGUGACGGUAAUGGGUAAAGAAGCACCGGCUAACUACGUG
This 468-nucleotide ribosomal RNA is filed under the name uncultured bacterium. RNAcentral's name for it is "partial 16S ribosomal RNA". It matches the Rfam family "Bacterial small subunit ribosomal RNA", at positions 28 to 507 of the family's 1533-position model. The record is from RNAcentral.